GUUUUCAUAAAAUUGAAAUAGUAAAAAUAUUGUUGGUUAAUAAUUUGGAGGAUGUAGAGUUUAUAAACAGGGCAUGAGAGAAGAGAGAAGGCUUGGAUUCCUGGGAAAGUUGCUGACUUCAUACCAGGAAAUGUUCAGGAUGGGCGAAAGGAUUUACAGUAAGCUUGGAAGAAAUCUCCCUCUGCAAAUUGCUACCAUCAACAAGGCAUCUGUCUUAUUGGACUGUCAAUGUGCAAGCCAUCUCUUCUGAAACUGGUUGUGAACAUAUGAAUCAGGAAAUGUCACUGGGAGUAGGACGGAAACUGAAAUUGGCUGAAUUGUUCUUCCCCAGGGCAAGUAGAAAUGAGAAUAUUGAAACAGCUCUGAGCUCCACAUCUGCCCAGGAAGACUUUUUCCAUAAGAAACAUUGUGCAUUGGAGCAAGAAGUUCCAGGAUGGAGUUUCUCGAGAGAUGUGUGGGUUAUUGACUGAGAAUUAAGCACCUGGACACUCUCCAUCACAGAAAUUGAAGUCAACACCCUGACUGUUCUGUAAUUCACUGGCUUUGCAGCAAAUCAGCUUUAUACUAUAGCUGAAAAUCAAAGAGUCUUCCUAUAAUUAAAUCAUUGUUUCUACUUUAUUAACAAUGUAUUUAAAAUUAAAAAUAACAGACUAAUAUUUUUAAAGCAGUAUUACUUCUUAUUCUCUACAAGGAAAAAUAUUGCAUAAAUAAUUUC
Long non-coding RNA from Gymnogyps californianus (California condor), 715 nucleotides. RefSeq lists it as uncharacterized. The record is from RefSeq and is a predicted model, not a curated record. The transcript has 3 exons. NCBI's taxonomy places the organism in Eukaryota, Metazoa, Chordata, Aves, Accipitriformes, Cathartidae.